AAAUUGUUGAACAGCUUCUAACAAGUAAACUUUGUAUGAGGUAACUUUCUAUCAUUAUUGCUUAUCUUUUUGAUAAGUGGUAUACAAAAUGACCUUAUGAUGUUCGAAGCAUGAAAGAAACAUAGCUUUGGUAGUUGGAUUUUUUGGUGUAAAAAGAUAAUGUACAGUCAGAUGCUGUAUAAUAGGAAAAGAAAAGAAAAGAAAAAGAAUAAUAACAUUACAGUAAGACUGUAAGAGUUGCAUGUUUUGGAUACUGUUGUUUCUAACUGGGUCUGUUUCAUGAGAUGUUGUUGUCAAAAGUUGAUGCAGUUCUGUUAUGUGUGCUUUCCUGUUAUUAGCCUUGACAAUGUCAUAACUGGUCUGUACAUUAUCAAAAUGAAUACAUCACCUACCACCGAGAUACUCCAUACGACCAUACUUCUGCAUUUUGCAUGGCAUAGUUAUCAGAUUGUGGAUCUUUAAGCAAAACAGAGUGGCUUCCAUCUAUCUUCACAAAUUGCCAACUUUUCGGUUUAAGAUGUCACAGAGUCUCUUAUUUAGCUUUUCAAGUAAGCUUCACUUUUAGGCACACAAGUUGUGGGUGCAUGCAUUUGAAAUAGUAAAGUGCACGAUGCCGUGAAUCACAAGAAUGAAAUUGAGGAUGCAGAUUCAGCCUGUCAGGUUGUGCACAAGGUCUGCUGGCUUCAACAAAACAUGUCACUAGAGGUCACCAAACUAAAUCUAUUGUCCUUUGUCCAUAAAUUACUCAUUGUACAAUGAUAAACAUUGUAUUAGUACUGAGUUUGGCUGUGGUGCUUCUGUUAACAAUGCACUUACUAAUAUUAAUUUAAAUUUUGGUGAUCUUGAUCCUCGACAUUUACAUUUUCUCGUCUUGGAAUGCUCUGUAGCCUAUCAGCCUCAUCAGAUGUAUUAGAGCCUCGUCAGAAUUGUAUUAUACAUAUGUAUGCAUUCUAGAUUUGAAUAUAUAAUCUUGCUUACUUUGUGAG
This 986-nucleotide long non-coding RNA is filed under the name Aquilegia coerulea. RNAcentral describes it as "long non-coding RNA (ACOE_LNC000386)". The record is from RNAcentral. Lineage: Eukaryota; Viridiplantae; Streptophyta; Magnoliopsida; Ranunculales; Ranunculaceae.